GAAUACAUGGUCUGCUUCAUUAAAUUAAUAUGUAAUUCUUAGAUAAUAAUUAAACUGCUUUAUAUUUUUUUAGACCAAGAAGUGUUCUCUUAAAUUAAGGGAGAGGUAUUGUCAGUGGCAAAUUUGAGGAAUCUGAUACAUUGGUGGAAUACGGCAUGUGGUCAUGAAAUUAUACUUCAAUGCUGCAAUCCUCAAGGUCUGAAAAUUGGAAGUUUUGUACCAAUCUCUGCUAAUCAGCAGGGAAUCCAAGGGACAUGUUUAAGUAACACUACUAGUUUUGUAAAGAAAAUGAAACACUCCUGAUGACAUAUACUAGAUUUGUUGAAAUAGUUGAACUGAGGCAAUAUGAUUGUAAUUCAAGCAUUUUGGGGGAAAAUUUUUAAAAAUGUACUUGUUUUUAAAAUGUAAAUUUAUAUUUGACUCAUAAUUUUCUCAGAACCAAUCCAAUAUCCACUACAUUAAUUUAAACAUAUUUUCAGAGGUCAAGUAACUACCAAUGAUUUGAGCUCUAGGUUUGGAAAUAGAAAUCACAAAAUGUUAACGAAAAUUUUAAUAAAUUUUAUAUAUUUGCAUAAAACGACAGAAACGUACUGUAAUUUAGUAUUUAUGAAAAAAAGUAUUUAAUAUAAUCAUUGAAAAUUGUAUUGAAUUAAAUUACAUUAAUAAGGAG
Molecule: non-coding RNA, 670 nt
Organism: Paramuricea clavata
Lineage: Eukaryota; Metazoa; Cnidaria; Anthozoa; Malacalcyonacea; Plexauridae
Source: the annotation of a GenBank genome assembly